Molecule: ribosomal RNA, 486 nt
Filed under: uncultured bacterium
Lineage: Bacteria
Description: partial 16S ribosomal RNA
Rfam family: Bacterial small subunit ribosomal RNA
Source: RNAcentral
GACGAACGCUGGCGGCGUGCUUAACACAUGCAAGUCGAACGCUGAAGACCUGGCUUUUGUUGGGUUGGAUGAGUGGCGAACGGGUGAGUAACACGUGAGUAACCUGCCCUCUUCUUUGGGAUAACGCCCGGAAACGGGUGCUAAUACUGGAUAUUCACUGGCCUUCGCAUGGGGGUUGGUGGAAAGGUUUGUUCUGGUGGGGGAUGGGCUCGCGGCCUAUCAGCUUGUUGGUGGGGUGAUGGCCUACCAAGGCUUUGACGGGUAGCCGGCCUGAGAGGGUGACCGGUAACAUUGGGACUGAGAUACGGCCCAGACCCCUACGGGAGGCAGCAGUGGGGAAUAUUGCACAAUGGGCGAAAGCCUGAUGCAGCGACGCCGCGUGAGGGAUGGAGGCCUUCGGGUUGUAAACCUCUUUCGCUCAUGGUCAAGCCGCAACUGUGGGUUGUGGUGAGGGUAGUGGGUAAAGAAGCGCCGGCUAACUACGUG